UACAGAGGGUGCAAGCGUUGUUCGGAAUUAUUGGGCGUAAAGCGCGUGUAGGCGGCUUGGCAAGUCGGGUGUGAAAUCCCUCAGCUUAACUGAGGAAGUGCGCCCGAAACUGCUUUGCUUGAGUGUCGGAGAGGAUGGCGGAAUUCCCCAAGUAGAGGUGAAAUUCGUAGAUAUGGGGAGGAACACCGGUGGCGAAGGCGGCCAUCUGGACGACAACUGACGCUGAGACGCGAAAGCCAGGGGAGCAAACGGG
Molecule: ribosomal RNA, 253 nt
Filed under: uncultured bacterium
Lineage: Bacteria
Description: partial 16S ribosomal RNA
Rfam family: Bacterial small subunit ribosomal RNA
Source: RNAcentral